Molecule: long non-coding RNA, 2195 nt
Filed under: Phocoena sinus (vaquita)
Lineage: Eukaryota; Metazoa; Chordata; Mammalia; Artiodactyla; Phocoenidae
Description: lncRNA (ENSPSNG00000020967.1)
Source: RNAcentral
GGACUGAGGCGCGCGGGACACCGAGCUCCGCUGGGUAAACUCCAGCUGCAGGAACCUGCACUAACGACUCAGCUUUUCCUUCCGACCACGCGGACCACGAGCCCCAGAACGCUUUGCGCCUCGGCCUCUUUGCGGAAAGAACAACAUUUCCCAGAGGGCCCCGAGACACGCCUCGACAUCGCGCCUGCGCUACAGGUGACCGAGGCCGCAGGUGCGGGUACCCGGAACGCUGUGUGCGAUCUUGGGCACUCAGAUGACUCUGGGCUACUGUGUGUGAGGGAGUGGUGAAGCUGUGCACGCCCGUGACUGUUAUUGAAUGCUCAGGUGGGGCGGUUUGUGUGUGUGACUGUCGCUGCACACUUUUGUGCUUGCUCACUACGGGGCGACGGGUUCUGUCGGUGUAGUGAGCUUCUGUAUUUUCAGUCACGCCCGUGAGUGUGGGUCGUUGUGUGACAGAUUGUGGGUCUGUCCCGCCAAGAAUGGGAGAGUGAUUGUGGGUGUGUGAAGAACUGUGGCUGACUUUGGGCAUGACGUUUCUGUAACUGUGUUCUUAUCCCAGAGAUCGCAGGAGUUUACCCAUAAUGGGCGGUAUUUCUGGGCUUGUCUUUAGGGUUGAGUACGUGGGAGAAGAGUGUUUGUGUGUCUGUGUGUGUGCCUGUCUCCAGGUCUAACUGUUCUCCCACCCCCACCCAACCCCUCACCUCCGGCCAUGGGUGGGGUCAGUGUUAUCCUCAUUUUUACUAUCCCUUCUCUGAUUGCCCCAUAUGUGAUGCCAGGCACAGAGGGUAAUUAUAUUCCAGUUGUAGGAAGAUGCUCAUUUGCACCAAAGCCAUUUAUAAUGUUGUAGCCAACAGCUCUGGGGUUUAUUGCUGUUUCUCCUUUUCACUUUAAAACUUUAAUUAGGGCCCAGCUUUAAGAAAAACUGUCCACAGUCAGGAGGAAAGAAUGUGAACCCCUGAGUGAUGUUAAAGAAAACCAGAGCUGAACAGUAGUUGAGGGGUUUUUGUUUUGUUUUGUUUUUUUUAAUCCAGGAAAUAUUGCAAUAGGGGGAAAGAGACUUCAGUAUAGAACUGGGCUCAAUUCCAAAUAUAGCAAGAACAAGUGGGGAUUUAUAGGCAAGGAGCAAGUUGGGGUUGGGGGGUGGUCAGUUCAUGGAAAAUUACAAAGAGGAGACGUAAAGGGUAGGGAGGAAUUCUCACUAUACUGACCAACAGGAUUCUUGCUGAGGGCUGGCCAGAGUGAUCAGAUACCACCUGGGUAGAUGAGAAAUUUAAUUAGAUAUUGAGACUGAUCAGAUAUCAAGAACUCAUGCUAAACUGACAUGACAGAAUUCUUGCUAAAAGUGGGUGUUGCAAAGACAAACAUUGAAGCCCAAAGGUUGAAGCCUAGUUAAGAAGAGGGUUCAGAGGAGUCUGACUAAAAGUUUGGUCAAGGAGAGAGUCUUUGUCAGUGAAGGUUCCAAACAAACCAACAUUCUUCCCCAGACCUUGGAAGAUCUGGAAGGUGCACCCAAGUCAAGAUCUCGGUAAGUGGGGGUGUGUGGAAGCAAAGGGAAGUUCUUGAAAUAAGAACACAUCCUUGGAGAUUCCUUCCAAUCCCCUCCCGAGAAAGAGCCCUCAAAUAGCUAAAGCCCCAGAGUCUUGGACAAGGGGAGUCUGGCUACUAGGACUAAAGUGAUUUGCACUUUACUCUGUGAAACUGUUGUUACAUUGCAUUGUUACAUUCAGAAGAAAGCAAGCAAUUAUUUUUUAAGGCUCCACAAACAUUUAAUAGUUGGGUUGCUUUAAUGGGAAAUUUACCAGUUAGGAAUUCUUUGGAAGAUGGGACUUUCCUGGUGGUCCAGUGGUAAAGAAUCCGCCUUCCAAUUCAGGGGACGCAGAUUUGAUCCCUGGUCAGGGAACUAAGACCCCACAUGCUGUGGGGCAACUAAGCCUGCCCGCCACAACUGCUGAGCUGGGGUGCCUCAACGAGAGAGCCCACGUGCCUCAAACUACAGAGUCCACAUGCUCUGGAGCCCGAGCGCCACAACUACAGAGCCCACGUGCCCUGGAACCCAUGUGCCACAACUAGAGAGAGAAAGUCUGCAUGCCACAACUAGAGAGAAGCCCUCACGUCACAAGAGCCCACGCUGCAAUGAAAAAUCGUGCAUGCCUCAACGAAGAUCCUACAUGCCACAACUAAGACCCGACACAGCC